AGUACUACUGGUUACAUAUCUGCAUCCUAAUGGAUCAGCCUCAUCAUGCUGUACGCCACCAAAUGGAUACUCAAAAGCAGCAGCAUCCACAUCUAAUGAGACAAGUCCUGCUACAUAUAUAAGUAGUAAAAGUAGUAUUAGAUAACGUAUAUGACUUUAACAAGAUUUUUUUUAUAAAAAAUAUAAAUAGUAAGAGUAAGAUUGGAAUGCUUACACCAUCAUCUAAAAUAAUCUG
RNAcentral lists this long non-coding RNA (235 nucleotides) under Elaeis guineensis (African oil palm). RNAcentral describes it as "long non-coding RNA (EGUI_LNC011203)". Lineage: Eukaryota; Viridiplantae; Streptophyta; Magnoliopsida; Arecales; Arecaceae. The record is from RNAcentral.